AGGUUAAGUUAUGAAGGGCGCAUGGUGGAUGCCUUGGCACUAGGAGCCGAUGAAGGACGGGACUAACACCGAUAUGCUUCGGGGAGCUGUACGUAAGCUUUGAUCCGGAGAUUUCCGAAUGAGGAAACUCGAUAAUCUUAAUCGAUUAUCACCAGCUAGAGAAUACAUAUCUAGUUUGGGGGCAGACGUGGGGAACUGAAACAUCUA
RNAcentral lists this ribosomal RNA (207 nucleotides) under Apilactobacillus kunkeei. Its description in RNAcentral is "Lactobacillus kunkeei partial 23S ribosomal RNA". It matches the Rfam family "Bacterial large subunit ribosomal RNA", at positions 1 to 204 of the family's 2925-position model. Lineage: Bacteria; Bacillati; Bacillota; Bacilli; Lactobacillales; Lactobacillaceae. The record is from RNAcentral.